This 855-nucleotide ribosomal RNA is filed under the name uncultured bacterium. Its description in RNAcentral is "bacterial SSU rRNA". It matches the Rfam family "Bacterial small subunit ribosomal RNA", at positions 62 to 886 of the family's 1533-position model. The record is from RNAcentral.
CCCAUUGAUUGAUGGUGCUUGCACCUGAUUGAUUUUGGUUGCCAACGAGUGGCGGACGGGUGAGUAACACGUAGGUAACCUGCCCAGAAGCGGGGGACAACAUUUGGAAACAGAUGCUAAUACCGCAUAACAGCGUUGUUCGCAUGAACAACGCUUAAAAGAUGGCUUCUCGCUAUCACUUCUGGAUGGACCUGCGGUGCAUUAGCUUGUUGGUGGGGUAACGGCCUACCAAGGCGAUGAUGCAUAGCCGAGUUGAGAGACUGAUCGGCCACAAUGGGACUGAGACACGGCCCAUACUCCUACGGGAGGCAGCAGUAGGGAAUCUUCCACAAUGGGCGCAAGCCUGAUGGAGCAACACCGCGUGAGUGAAGAAGGGUUUCGGCUCGUAAAGCUCUGUUGUUAAAGAAGAACACGUAUGAGAGUAACUGUUCAUACGUUGACGGUAUUUAACCAGAAAGUCACGGCUAACUACGUGCCAGCAGCCGCGGUAAUACGUAGGUGGCAAGCGUUAUCCGGAUUUAUUGGGCGUAAAGAGAGUGCAGGCGGUUUUCUAAGUCUGAUGUGAAAGCCUUCGGCUUAACCGGAGAAGUGCAUCGGAAACUGGAUAACUUGAGUGCAGAAGAGGGUAGUGGAACUCCAUGUGUAGCGGUGGAAUGCGUAGAUAUAUGGAAGAACACCAGUGGCGAAGGCGGCUACCUGGUCUGCAACUGACGCUGAGACUCGAAAGCAUGGGUAGCGAACAGGAUUAGAUACCCUGGUAGUCCAUGCCGUANACGAUGAGUGCUAGGUGUUGGAGGGUUUCCGCCCUUCAGUGCCGGAGCUAACGCAUUAAGCACUCCGCCUGGGGAGUACGAC